UCAGCUGCUCACAUCUCUCUCUCUUUCGCUUGAUUCCGGCGUCGCGCCGCCGCGCCGCUCCGCCUGCAAUCGCCCGCGGAAGUCGCCGCCGUCUGGAGUUGCUGCCACCGUCGCCAGCUGGAGCGUCGGCAGCGGCUGCUGCCGCUCCUGGUUCGCCGCCGCCUCUGGCGGACGCCACCGCCCCUGAGCUUUUGACGAGGCUAUAGACGUCAUUCACUCCUUAGUUCUUUCCGCUUUCGAACUCAAGGGAUGGGUCUUCUUUCGCUGUCUUCUGGGUUCCGGCUGAGAAGGGUAGGCCGUCGCUGCUGUCCUCCUCGGAGUCGACGGGCCUGACUCUUCACCUCGCCGUUGCUUCUUUACUCAUAUUCCGGCGAGGCAGCAAGGACUCGUCGUCGUUCCCUUGGUUCGACUGAACAGGCUGAACUCAAGAAAAAAAAUGGAGAAGUUUAAGUUGAGCUUACCUCUUGGGGUCCAGAUUGCAGCUGAAAUAAACUCUCUAUGAUUUUUGGUGCAUAAAGGAUGGAGUAGAUUUGCUGCUGUGAUGAAGAAGGUGAAUGAGGAUGGUUUUAUACUGAACUUAUGGAGAGCUGAUUAGUGUGAAAAGAUGAUGAAUAGUACGGCUAAAUUGUAGAGCGUGGUUGAAGAAUUUAAAGAUGAGAGUUGCUGUUGACAUUCUUGAGAUUUGUUUGCUGAAUUCUUUUUGAUUA
Long non-coding RNA from Salvia miltiorrhiza (redroot sage), 707 nucleotides. RefSeq lists it as uncharacterized. The transcript has 2 exons. The record is from RefSeq and is a predicted model, not a curated record. NCBI's taxonomy places the organism in Eukaryota, Viridiplantae, Streptophyta, Magnoliopsida, Lamiales, Lamiaceae.